This 389-nucleotide ribosomal RNA is filed under the name uncultured bacterium. Its description in RNAcentral is "bacterial SSU rRNA". It matches the Rfam family "Bacterial small subunit ribosomal RNA", at positions 28 to 417 of the family's 1533-position model. The record is from RNAcentral.
AUUGAACGCUGGCGGCAUGCUUUACACAUGCAAGUCGAACGGCAGCGGGGGCUUCGGCCUGCCGGCGAGUGGCGAACGGGUGAGUAAUGCAUCGGAACGUGCCCAUGUCGUGGGGGAUAACGUAUCGAAAGGUACGCUAAUACCGCAUACGUCCUGAGGGAGAAAGCGGGGGGAUCUUCGGACCUCGCGCGAUUGGAGCGGCCGAUGUCGGAUUAGCUAGUAGGUGAGGUAAAGGCUCACCUAGGCGACGAUCCGUAGCGGGUCUGAGAGGAUGAUCCGCCACACUGGGACUGAGACACGGCCCAGACUCCUACGGGAGGCAGCAGUGGGGAAUUUUGGACAAUGGGCGCAAGCCUGAUCCAGCCAUGCCGCGUGAGUGAAGAAGGCCU